ACGUAGGAGGCAAACGUUAUCCGGAUUUACUGGGCGUAAAGCGCGUGUAGGUGGUUCUGUAAGUAGGGCGUGAAAGCUCCUGGCUCAACUGGGAGAGGCCGUUCUAAACUGCAGAGCUAGAGGAUGGUAGAGGGAGGUGGAAUUCCGGGUGUAGCGGUGGAAUGCGCAGAUAUCCGGAGGAACACCAGUGGCGAAGGCAGCCUCCUGGGCCGUUCCUGACGCUGAGGCUCGAAAGCUAGGGUAGCAAACGG
RNAcentral lists this ribosomal RNA (251 nucleotides) under uncultured prokaryote. Its description in RNAcentral is "partial 16S rRNA". It matches the Rfam family "Bacterial small subunit ribosomal RNA", at positions 525 to 775 of the family's 1533-position model. The record is from RNAcentral.